UACGUAGGGGGCAAGCGUUGUCCGGAAUCAUUGGGCGUAAAGCGCGUGUAGGCGGCUUGGUAAGUCCGCUCUGAAAGCCCGGGGCUCAACCCCGGGAGGCGGGUGGAUACUGUCAAGCUCGAGUCCGGAAGAGGCGAGUGGAAUUCCUGGUGUAGCGGUGAAAUGCGCAGAUAUCAGGAGGAACACCAAUGGCGAAGGCAGCUCGCUGGGACGUGACUGACGCUGAGACGCGAAAGCGUGGGUAGCAAACAGG
RNAcentral lists this ribosomal RNA (253 nucleotides) under uncultured bacterium. Its description in RNAcentral is "partial 16S ribosomal RNA". It matches the Rfam family "Bacterial small subunit ribosomal RNA", at positions 524 to 776 of the family's 1533-position model. The record is from RNAcentral.